AUUGAACGCUGGCGGCAUGCUUUACACAUGCAAGUCGAACGGCAGCACAGGGAACUUGUUCCUGGGUGGCGAGUGGCGAACGGGUGAGUAAUGUAUCGGAACGUGCCUGGUAGUGGGGGGUAACUACUCGAAAGAGUGUCUAAUACCGCCAGAAAUCCUUGGAUGAAAGCGGGGGAGCUUGAAACAUGCUGUUACUGCACCGACCGAUGUUCGAUCAGGUUGUUGGUGGGGUAAAGGGCUACCAAGCCUGCGAUCUGUAGCUGGUCUGAGAGGACGACCAGCCACACUGGGACUGAGCCACGGCCCAGACUCCAACGGGAGGCAGAAGAGGGGAAUUUUGGACAAUGGGCGCAAGCCUGAUCCAGCAAGGCCGCGUGGAGGACGAAGGCCUUCGGGUUUUAAACUGCGUUUGUACAGAACGAAAAGUCUCUGGCUAAUAUGUAGAGAUCAUGACGGUACUGUAAGAAUAAGCACCGGCUAACUACGUG
RNAcentral lists this ribosomal RNA (488 nucleotides) under uncultured bacterium. RNAcentral describes it as "partial 16S ribosomal RNA". It matches the Rfam family "Bacterial small subunit ribosomal RNA", at positions 30 to 507 of the family's 1533-position model. The record is from RNAcentral.